CUCAAUUUGAAAUCUGGCCUUUCGGGGUCGAGUUGUAAUUUGUAGAGGGUGUUUCGGGCGCGAUGCCGGUCUAAGUUCCUUGGAACAGGACGUCGCAGAGGGUGAGAAUCCCGUACGCGACCGGCGAUCAAGCCCGUGUGAAGCCCCUUCGACGAGUCGAGUUGUUUGGGAAUGCAGCUCAAAAUGGGUGGUAAAUUUCAUCUAAAGCUAAAUAUUGGCCAGAGACCGAUAGCGGACAAGUAGAGUGAUCGAAAGAUGAAAAGCACUUUGGAAAGAGAGUCAAACAGUACGUGAAAUUGUUGAAAGGGAAGCGCUUGCAAUCAGACCGGUCCGGAGGCGAUCAGCCGCUGCUCGUUCAGCGGUGCACUCGCCUGCGAUCCGGCCAGCAUCGGUUUGGGCGGUGGGAUAAAAGUCCCGGGAAUGUAGCUUCUCUCGGGGAGUCUUAUAGCCCGGGUCGCAAUGCCGCCCGCCCGGACCGAGGACCGCGCUUCGGCUAGGAUGCUGG
Molecule: ribosomal RNA, 505 nt
Filed under: Sticta corymbosa
Lineage: Eukaryota; Fungi; Ascomycota; Lecanoromycetes; Peltigerales; Lobariaceae
Description: partial 28S ribosomal RNA
Rfam family: Eukaryotic large subunit ribosomal RNA
Source: RNAcentral